AGGGUGACAGGGACACAACAUGGCGGCGGGAUCCCUAAUGCUCUCCUUCGAGGGACCACCACGGAGAUCCUAGUGCGGGACCCCGCCUCAGGGAAGUGGAAAGCAGGGGGACAACCUUCCUGCCUCUUUCUUUUCCGUCCAGUGUCGGCAAGGGGUUGUCACCGGCUUCCGCAUCCAAGAUGAAGAACUAUAAAGCCAUUGGCAAAAUAGGAGAGGGAACGUUUUCUGAGGUUAUGAAGAUGCAAAGCCUGAGAGAUGGAAACUACUAUGCGUGUAAACAAAUGAAGCAGCGCUUUGAAAGGGAGAAGAUACCCAUUAUCAGAAAAAAAAAUUAUGCAUUAUAUGUACCAGUUAUGUAAGUCCCUGGAUCAUAUUCACAGGAUGUCCUGAAAUUAGCGGACUUUGGCUCCUGCCGGAGUGUCUAUUCCAAGCAGCCGUACACAGAAUACAUCUCCACCCGCUGGUACCGGGCCCCGGAGUGUCUCCUCACCGACGGGUUCUACACGUACAAGAUGGACCUGUGGAGCGCCGGCUGUGUGUUCUACGAGAUCGCCAG
RNAcentral lists this small RNA (556 nucleotides) under Pongo abelii (Sumatran orangutan). RNAcentral's name for it is "processed transcript". Lineage: Eukaryota; Metazoa; Chordata; Mammalia; Primates; Hominidae. The record is from RNAcentral.